CAGCCGCCGCGGUAAUACCAGCUCUCCGAGUAGUAGGGAUGAUUAUUGGGCUUAAAGCGUCCGUAGCCGGCCCGACAAGUCUUCCGUUAAAUCCACCGAUUCAAUCGUUGGACUGCGAGAGAUACUGUUGGGCUAGGGGGCGGGAGAGGCUGACGGUAUUCUCGGGGUAGGGGUAAAUCCCUAUAAUCCCGGAAAGACCACCAGUGGCGAAGGCGGUCGGCUAGAACGCGCUCGACGGUGAUGGACGAAAGCUGGGGGAGCGAACCGGAUUAGAUACCCGGGUAGUCCCAGCUGUAAACGAUGCGGGCCAGGUGUUGGGGCGGCUACGAGCCGCUUCAGUGCCGCAGGGAAACCAUUAAGCCCGCCGCCUGGGGAGUACGGCCGCAAGGCUGAAACUUAAAGGAAUUGGCGGGGGAGCACCACAAGGCGUGAAGCUUGCGGUUUAAUUGGAGUCAACGCCGGGAAACUUACCGGGGGCGACAGCAGGAUGAAGGCCAGGUUGAAGGUCUUGCUGGACGAGCUGAGAGGAGGUGCAUGGCCGUCGCCAGUUCGUGCCGUGAGGUGUCCUGCUAAGUCAGGCAACGAUCGAGACCCACGCCCCCUGUUGCCACCAAGGAGGUUUCUCCAAGGGGCACUCUGGGGGACUGCCGUCGACAAGACGGAGGAAGGAGUGGGCCACGGCAGGUCAGUAUGCCCCGAAUCCCCCGGGCCACACGCGAGCUGCAAUGACUGGGACAAUGGGUUCCAACCCCGAAAGGGGAAGGUAAUCCCUAAACCCAGCCGUAGUUGGGACCGAGGGCUGAAACUCGCCCUCGCGAACAUGGAAUGCCUAGUAAUCGCGCGUCAUCAUCGCGCGGUGAAUACGUCCCCGCUCCUUGCACACACCGCCCGU
RNAcentral lists this ribosomal RNA (892 nucleotides) under uncultured archaeon. Its description in RNAcentral is "bacterial SSU rRNA". It matches the Rfam family "Archaeal small subunit ribosomal RNA", at positions 459 to 1353 of the family's 1478-position model. The record is from RNAcentral.